This is a long non-coding RNA of Haplochromis burtoni (Burton's mouthbrooder), 7732 nucleotides long. RefSeq lists it as uncharacterized. The record is from RefSeq and is a predicted model, not a curated record. The transcript has 2 exons. Lineage: Eukaryota; Metazoa; Chordata; Actinopteri; Cichliformes; Cichlidae.
AAAACAUAAAAAAUAAAAAUGAGUUUAUACAAUAGAUUAAAGAUUCAAAGUGUUUAUUGUCAUGUGUACAGAGGAAAUAGUAUUUCUCUGUGCAAUGAAAUUCUCCCUUUGCUGUCCAAACAUAAAUGCCAAGUUAGGUUGAAGGAACAAGAUAAAUAAGGAUAAAAAUAAUUAAAGAUAAAUAAAUGAGUGCAAAAAUAAGUAAGACAAGCGAGGUAUGCAGAUGUCGAUGUAGAUGGAUGUACAAAGGAGCUUAAUGUGCAAAAUGAACUUAAUGUGCAACAACAUACUCAAUAAAGUGGAAAAUAACAGACUUAUCUCCAAAAUAAUAUUAUUUCUGGAGUUAUGGUGCAGGUUUGAAUACGUUGAUAGUUCUAUAUUUUUGCAGUGAGGGUCGACACUGUGUGACAUCUGGCGCUAAUUUUAACAAGAUCAUCUUUGGCAGCGGCACUAAAUUAUUCAUUAAUGACAGUAAGUUUAAUUCUGUUCUUUCAGUGGUGAAAAACUCAGUACAUGAAAAAACAACUACUUUGUUUAUUCAUUCAGAGUAUUACGAAUUCUACAAAAUGCAAAACACCAAAGAAAUAUUAUGAUUACUGCUAAUAUUUAAAUGUAACUUUGAUGCUUUGUAUUAAAAUAUACAAACUUUCAACUUCACUGUAAUUUAAAAAGCAGCACUGCACAGAAGGAUUGUAGAUAAUAACAGAUGAGAAUGGCUCAUCUCCCAAAUUAUUAUUAUUAUUGUUGUUAUUGUUGUUGUUAUUGUUGUUGUUAUUGGGUUACAGUGCAGGUUUGAGUCGGUCUGUGUAGUUGUAGAUUUUUGCACUGAGGCUUGACACUGUGUGACAUCUGGCUCUGGUUUAACCAAGAUCAUCUUUGGACGUGGGACUAAGCUUUUCAUUAACGACAGUAAGUUCAGUGCAGAAACGAGUUUAUCUUACUUACACAUGUACAAGCAGACAUGAUGCUUGGGUUGUCUUGUAUAUUUGAUGUGCACGCACAGCUGCUCCUUGUUUUAUAUCCAGACUUAUUAUCUCAGUGAGGAAUACAAACAAAAAGAAUGUAAAUCACCUCAGUGAUGCAGAACCAAAGUAACAGAGUGAUAUAGUAACUAUUAGAGUAACAUUGUAGUCACAUUAUAUUCAGACUCUCUGUAUCCAUUUGAAUGGGAUUAACGGUAUUUUAGGCUGUAUUUGUAAGUAAGUCAGGUUAAUGUGCUGAGGCUGCAGACUGUGGGACAUACGGCAGUGGGAACUACAAGGUGAUCUUUGGCAGUGGCGCUCAAUUAUUCAUUAAUGACAGUAAGUUCAAUUCUUUGGUUUAGUGGUGAAACACUGAGUGUGUGAAAAAACAACUUUAAUUAUUCAUUAAAAAUCCUACAAAGUGCAAAAACAAGUUAACAUCAGCAUCUUAAAUGCAGCGUUUUCAUCUAAAGUAUCAAAUGUAAAAACAUGGUUGUGUGAAUGGAGCCUGGUUCAGUUUGUCACUGGUUUUGGUCCCAGUGCUUCGUGCUGUGUGAACACUGGUACAAAUAAGAUCACCUUUGGAAGCGGCACCAGCCUGAUGAUUGAACCCAGUAAGUGCAUGAAAGGAUCACACAGAAACAUUGUUAUUACUGCAAAUCUUUGGACUAAUGCAUUGUUAUUGAAAGAUACACAUUUAUAACGUCACUGUAAUGUAAACAGCAGCACUGCCCUCCAGAAGUUUGUUCAUUUGGAAAUCUUUGAGAGCAAAGUAGAGACAGAUUUUAUCGGCUUUAUUGAUUAACUGAAAGUGAAACUUGUUAAAAUGUAGCUUUAAAAAGGUCAUGAUGACAUUGAUGUUUCCACUUCAACUUUGAAGUUGAUGUUUUUGGUUAUUUUUUGGUUAUUUUGGAAACACUGAGUGCGUCAGGUUUAUGCGCUGCAGCUUCAUACUGUGUGACAUACAGCAGUGGUAGCAACAAGAUUAUCUUUGGACGUGGGACUAAACUCUACGUUACUGACAGUAAGUUCAGUUCAGUUCUUUUAGUGAUGGAAACCCAAGUACAUGAAGUAUGAAGUGAUAUACAUCAUCAAUGCACCUUGACUGAUGAUUACUCACAUGUGGAUCAUAAAACAAAUGUUCAAAAGUUUUUAAAAUCAAUAUUUUAAUGGUGUAUAAUAACUAAACAGCAGGUCAAAGGUCACAUAAUGCAGUUUGGAUGAGUUUAUCACUGUGUUUUGGCUCUGCUGCUUCAUGCUGUGUGAAUACUGGAAGCAGGUUCAUCUUUGCAAAGGGAACCAGAUUAAAUGUUGAGCCCAGUAAGUAAAUCUAACAUUCAUCAUUUAAUAUAUCAAUACUUGCAUACAUACAUAUGUCUGUGCAAACUCACUUUAAAUGUAGUGAAACUUUUAAAGACAUCCACUAAACCAAACGAGAAACCAGUUUAUUUGAAAACAUUAAAAUAAGCUGAAUCUGUGCAUGUUGAAUGUGCAUUAAACAAAGACACAUCAGUGCAGUACAAACACGUCUAACUUACAUCUACUGCAUAUUUCAGCAAAGAAUGUGUUUAUUAGUUUCAUUAAAUGUAAUUAUUUAGACAAAAGGAUUCAAUAUAAAACUAAAUCAGUAUUAAUGAAUAAACACUGUGCUGCAGUCAGUCAGGUUAAUGUGCUGAGGCUGCAGACUGUGGGACAAACACUGGUGGGAACUACAGGGUGAUCUUUGGCAGUGGCACUCAAUUAUUCAUUAAUGACAGUAAGUUCAACUCUUUGGUUUAGUGGUGAAACACUGAGUGCAUGAAAAGAAAAAAGACAAAUUUUAUUAUCCAAUCAAAGUAUAAAAAUCAUUCAAAGUGCAAAAAAAAAAGUCAAAUCAACAUCUUAAAUGAAAUUUAAAGUUACAAUUUACAGACAGGACUUUCCUGUAAAGUAUCAAAUGUAAAAACAUGGUUGUGUGAAUGGUUUAGUUUUGGUCUCAGUGCUUCGUGCUGUGUGAACACUGGUACAAAUAAGAUCACCUUUGGAAGCGGCACCAGCCUGAUGAUUGAACCCAGUAAGUGUAUGAAAGGAUCACCCAGAAACAUUGUUAUUACUGCAAACACUUUGAUUAACGUUAAUGCUUUUUAUUGAUAGAUAAUAUAAACAGCAGCACUGCCCUCCAGAAGUUUGUUAUUUUGGAAAUCUUUGAGAGCAAAGAAGAGACAGAUUUUAUCGGCUUAACCUGACUCGAUCUUGUUGAAGAUUUAGCUUUAAAAAGGUGAUGAUGACACUGAUGUUUCCACUUUGUUUGGGCAACUUUAAAGUUGAUGUUUUCGGUUAUUUUUGAACCCCUCUAUAUUUCACCAAGAAUUUGCUUGUUAGUAUAAAUAAAUGUAAUUAUUUAAACAAAAAGAUUUAAUAUAAAAUGAAACAGUAUUAAUGCUUUUCAUAAACACUGUCAGUUUGCUGCAGUCAGUCAGGUUAAUGUGCUGAGGCUGCAGACUGUGGGACAUACAGCGGGAGUGCAAACAAGGUUAUCUUUGGACGCGGCACCAAACUAUAUGUUAAUGACAGUAAGUCAGUUUGUGUUUCUGCAUAAUAAAUAUGUUCAAAGUGUUAAAGCUCAAUGCAAAUACAUCUUGUAAGUAAUGUAAAGUUUAUAUUUAUAAUAUACAAGCAAUAGUAGGAAAAACUGACUGCAGGUUUUUCUAUGGACACAUAAAAUAUGUAAGAUUACUUUGAUUGAAACUUAAAUCCGGUUCCCUUCAGUAGAACAUCAGACAGCAGAAUAAUAUUUUACCUUUUGUUUGUGAGUUAAAGAAGUUUAUGAAACCAAAGUUGUUUUCCUUCAUAUUGUAAAUAAGAUGCAGAUCUUGAACAAUGACAAUUACACAAUGAGAGCUAACUGUUGUGUUACAAAGUUGUUCUGAGUAGUGAAGGGCCACUGCUGGGUUUUUGUUGUGUAGCAUCACAUUGUGUGUCUACUGGGAAUCAGUUUAAACUCCUUUUUGGAACUGGAACCAGAUUACUGAUUGAACCCAGUAAGUACCGCUAUUGAUAAAUAAUAAUAAGCAAAUACAGUUUGUUAAGGAAAGGUUGCUAUAAAAAUACAAACAAAUAAAACCUUAUUUCAAACUUAUAUUAGCUGAAUAUUCUUCACCAGUCUCACAUGUGAACGGCUUUGAGUUUGUGUAACAGAGUUUCACUGUGUGUGACUCAAAAUACAAACAAGCUCAUCUUUGGACGUGGAACCAGAUUAACCAUCCAAACCUGUAAGUUUAUUGUUCAUGUAUAUGAGUGCAAGUAAACCAAUAAUAAUCUAAUAAGCAACAAAAGGAUAGCUGCUAACUCUCUGACCUCCAAUUGUUUCGUAGAAACUGAAAAGUGAUUAAAAUGUAAAACUAAUGUUUAAGUUUAAAUUUGCACUAAACUGAACAAUUUUACACCAAUUUGACAGAAAAACCAAACACUCGUACAAAAAGCUCAUCAGAGUCGAAUUUAUUCUCUGAACGGAGUUUGAUUCAGUUUGUGUGAGGGAGCGUCAUGCUGUGUGAAUGCUGGCUUACAGAAACUUACCUUUGGAAGAGGAACCAGACUAAAUAUUGAACAAAGUAAGUAAAAAGUAAACAUUUAGAAUCAUAUUUUUAAUACAAAAGCAGGUUACGCAGGAAAUUCCCUAAAGAUGAAGCAGAUAUGUCAGUGUCAGUGGCUGACGUGCUGAAAUUUGAACAUUUGUCAAUUUAAAAAGAAAUCUUACCCAAAGCACAUUUACUUUGAAAUACAAAAAUAAGAUACAAAAUGAAAGUGGAUGUUAUGACUUUACACAGUAUUUCUACUAAAUAUAGAUGCAUAAUAUAAUAUAAUAUAAAUACAGUUUUGACAUAUCCUCACUCUGAGAGGAGAAAAAGCAUUUCUAAAGGCGUCUGAUGUUACAGCACAGUUUAUGUGCUGGAGCGUCAUGUUGUGUGAAAACUGGAGGUGGUUAUAAGAUCAUUUUUGGAAGUGGAACCAGAUUAACCACUGAACCCAGUAAGUGCUGAUAUAUGUUUUAAUGGUUUAGCAUGAAAUAUGCUUAGAAAUUGUUUUUACCUUUAAACAAACAAACAAACAAACAAACAAACAAACAAACAAACAAACAAACAAACAAACAAACAAACAAACAAACAGUAGCCAAGUUUGUGUGUAGUUGCGGUAUUAUAAUAAUCACUUUUAAAAGUUACAAUUUGAAGUAACUUGAGUGGAAUUGAUUAAAAAAAAUAUAAUGUUUGAAAAUCAUUUUAGAAAUAAUUGAGUAAACAAGUCAGCCGUGUGUUUAAAGAAGGAUGAGUUAGAAGACAAACAAGUAAAGUUAGUUGAGUCUUUUCAUUCAAAUUGUUUUAACUGUUGUUGGCUCAUGUCAGUUACUGGUUUGUGUGCUGGUGUGUCAUGUUGUGUGACUAAUUCAAACCAGAAUAAGCUGAUCUUUGGAAGAGGGAUCAGAUUAACAGCUGAGCCCAGUAAGUGCUUUGACAUCGAUUAUAAUUAUUAUUUAUAUUAUUAUAGAGAUGCCUCUGACAGCAGCACUGAGUGCAGUUUAUCUGUAAUAAAUUCAAACCACUGUUAACAUCAGUUAAGUACAUUUAGCUUUACUGUAGAAACACUUUAGUACAAUUGCUUUCAUGAAACUGUAAAAUGUUACUGGUUUCUAUGUGUUUGGUUCAGUUCCUUACUGGGACUUUGUGUAAUGAGGGUUCAUGCUGUGUGACAUCUGGUGCAAAUCAGUAUAAGAUAUUCUUUGGCAGUGGAACCCGGCUAAACGCUGAAGCCAGUAAGUUUUCAUAUUAAUAAUAAUAAUAGUAAAACCAUAUAACCAGUAACAUAACACUGUUGUGGAAAACACAAUGUCAUCAUAUUUGCAGGAUAAAGUACAGUCACUCAUAUAUAUAUUAUAAAGCUUUUACUCAAUGAAUUUGCAUUAAUCUUUGGAUUAAAAAACUAAAUAAAUAUAUGAAAUUAUUAUUUUUUAAAUGACACUAAAAUAGAUCCACAGCUAAUUUAUUUGAUGGAGUUCAUGUUGGGUUACUACUAUAAAUACAAUUAUUUUGGAGUGUGAAUCACACACUCCAUGAUACAAAAUCUAAAAAAGCUCACAUCUUAAUAUGAAAAAUUAAAAUUUCUAUAUUCUGCAAAUACGGAUCACAGAGUUUAUGUUAUGAAGCUUCAUGCUGUGUGAAUACUGGCAAUGCUUAUAGGAUCUUGUUUGGGAGUGGGACCAGAUUAAUCAUUGAAACCAGUAAGUAAUUACAUGUAGUGGAACAUGAUUUUAUUUAUGUAUUUAUAUUUAAAUCGAAUCAUAUUUAAACACAGUGCAUGCUGAUGGACUGAUUGAUUAAAACCUAAUUAUACGUGAAUCAUGACCAGCAUCACCAGUGCAACCAUGUGGGGUCAAAGAACAGAGCAACAUGUAAAAACAUGUGAGAGGAUCUCGAUGAUUUAAUCACGUCUGAAUAUGAAUGUUUAGAGUUCACGUCUCAGUUCGGAUCUUUAGCUCUGCUCAGUUUGUGUUAUGGAGCUUCUUGUUGUGUGACUGGUGCAAAUCAGAAUAAGAUCUUCUUUGGGAGAGGAAUCACACUGACUGUUGAAUCCAGUGAGUAAAAGAAACAUUUCAUAUAAAUCAUAAACUAUAUCACACCUUAUUCUGACUGAACAUAGUGUUCAUGUUAAAGUUUUAACGUCUCAUCUGAGUUUCAUCAAAAGUACAAUAAAUACAGUUUGUUUGACUCUUAUCUUUGACCUGAAAAAAGAAUUUAGUGAUAUAAAAAUAACUAAUUUUAGUAUCAGCUGUACAUCAUAAAUCUAAGCUUGCAGAUUUUUACUGCAGUUAUUUUAAUGAAAACAUCAACGUGUUUGCGAAACAUGAAAAUCCUGUUUGGUUUAGCUGUUUGUGUUACUGAGCUUCAUGCUGUGUGAAUGUUGGUGGAACUAAGAUGACAUUUGGACGAGGAAGCAGAUUAUUGAUUGAACCCAGUGAGUACUGUUAUUGAUUAUAAUCAGUGUUAAAAUGACAACUGUAAAUAUAAAAUAAUUAAAAUAACAACGUAAUCACUGGGACACAAACAAAAGCUCAGUUCACUUUAAAAUUCUAUAUACACGUGAUAUAUUUGAUGGAGAGAUUUUAUAACAACAAAUCUGCAAAUGCAUUUGAAUAUUGAAUAAUCUGACACAGUUCAUGUCACAAAAAUGCAAAUCACACGUUUCCUUUUAUGGACUCACGUCAGCAAGUCAAACGUAUAAGAUAUAAUGAGCUCUUUGAAAAAACAAAACAUUUCCAGUUAUUUGGUGUCAGUGUUAGAAAUGGACUCUUAAGGCUAACGACUGUUCUGUUACACACAACGCUUGUAACAUGAAAACAGCAACAACAAUUGUAAAAGAUAAAAAUCAGCAGCACCCAGCUAAAAUAUUUAUGUAAACUCGUAAGACGAUAAGUUCUGUAAGAGAUAUUUUUCAUGAUCUUCCUGAGCUGAGUCAAAGUCAGUGGUGAGUUUGUGUUGUGGGUCGUUAUGUUGUGUGACAUCUAGCAGUGGAUACAAGCUUAUCUUUGGAAGUGGAACCAGAUUAACUGUUGAACCAAGUAAGUAACUUGACUCAGGAAAUAUCAAGCUGAGAGACUGAAAAUGUCAGUAAAUUAGAAUAUAUGGUUUUGUGUUUGCUAAAAGUCAGGAUAAGAUCUUCUUUGGAAGUGGAACUAAAACUAUCAUUGAAACCAUUUCAAUUCUGAUAUUUAUGAAAAUCAGGGUUAAUAUAUGUCUCAC